CACACGCGGCAUUGCUGGAUCAGGGUUGCCCCCAUUGUCCAAAAUUCCCCACUGCUGCCUCCCGUAGGAGUCUGGGCCGUGUCUCAGUCCCAGUGUGGCUGAUCGUCCUCUCAGACCAGCUACUGAUCGUCGCCUUGGUGGGCUCUUACCCCACCAACUAGCUAAUCAGACAUCGGCCGCUCCUAUCGCGCGAGGCCGUUACCGGUCCCCCGCUUUCACCCUCAGGUCGUAUGCGGUAUUAGCUAAUCUUUCGAC
Molecule: ribosomal RNA, 255 nt
Filed under: Cupriavidus sp. TGCL-3
Lineage: Bacteria; Pseudomonadati; Pseudomonadota; Betaproteobacteria; Burkholderiales; Burkholderiaceae
Description: partial 16S ribosomal RNA
Source: RNAcentral